This 1917-nucleotide ribosomal RNA is filed under the name Triticum aestivum (bread wheat). RNAcentral describes it as "partial small subunit ribosomal RNA". The record is from RNAcentral. Lineage: Eukaryota; Viridiplantae; Streptophyta; Magnoliopsida; Poales; Poaceae.
AUGGCCGGCGCCCCGCGCAGGUCCGACGUCGACUUCGCCGACGUCUUCGGCGGCCCGCCCCGCCGCUCGUCGGGGAGCGACCGCGGGCGCCGCUCCUCGCUCGACUCGCCCUCCGGCUCCGCGUCCAGGGCGCGCAGCGGGGCCGAGGAGCGGCCCGUCUUCGGGGACCGCACCAGCUCCGGCUUCGCGUCCAGGGAGCGGCGGAGCGGCGGGGAGAGCGGGCCCGGGGAGAGGCCCGUCUUCGGGGACCGCACCAGCUCCGAGCGGAGGCAGCUCGGCCAGGAGUUCUACAAGGAUAUCUUCCCGGGGGGCGAGCCGACGUCGCCCAGGCGAGGCGGCGCCUCCGGCGAUCGCGACGUGUUCGGCGCGCCCACAUCGCCCGGCGGGUCCACCAGCCGCCUGCUGUCUCGGUCCAGCUUCUCCAUGAAGUUCACCAGAGGUGUGGACAGUUCAGUGCCUACUUCUCCAUCCCGGCAUAUAUCCAACAGAAAUGAUGAUGACACAUCUUAUGGUUACAGUGUUCCAGCUUCACCGAAUUCAUCUACAAACAGUUCUCUUGCCCAGGGGGUAUCCCAGCAAGAUUCAAAGAAGAAUCCCUUUUCGUGGCAUCGAUAUCCCUUCCUAUCCCGGUUCCGUUCAAGUGGAGAUAAGAAGGACACCUCUCAACAUGUUAACUCUAUGGACAGUGAAUGUGAAGGGACUCCUAUUAGCUCAGCAAGCUUCAUCAGCAGUGACAAGUUCCAUUUUUCAUUCUAUAAGUGGGCAGGGAAAGGAGCUUUGUUGAUGUUGCCAGCUAGUGUGCAAGAAAAAGAUGGAAAUAUUAUUGGGGUUAGAAGCUUCCCUCAAGUAAUUGUGCAAGGCAUCGACCUAAUUGAUGAGGAAGAAAGCAUGUCAACUGCCACGCCUGCAUCAAAAAGUCAGACUGACUAUGAAGAUUACAAAUCUGGGAAGGAUGGCUUGUUUGAAAGAAAACACAGCAUAAACUCAACAACCAAGGAGGAAUCUUCAGUGUUUGAUGAGUACCUGCAGGGUGAUAAAUCCAAAGAAGCAGGAACAAAGAAGAGUAUCAAUAAUGCAAAGAGCAAUGUAUCAGCAGGGAGCCCCAGAACUCAAAGUUCACGUCCACCUUCAGGAGAGAAAAGUCGUGGUAGCAGAGUGCUAAAAGAUUUCAUCAAAAUCUUCAGUCCUGAGGUUUCACCAAAGCGAAAAGCGGCAGUUGAGGCUCAAGAUCAGUCCAGUGGAAAAAAUGGAAGCAAAGGUGGAGUUGAAGAUAAAUUUAGCAUCUCGGAUUUGGAGACUGGUGAGGAUAUUAAGACGGAUAAAACAAACAGUCAGAAUGCAUUUUCCCCUGCAGCUGCUCAAAUGAGAGACGUACAAGGUAGGAUGGAGAAACCCGUCCUUACAGUCGAUGAUGAAAUGCUCACAAGAACAGGAAAACUCUCAGGAAAGGAAGAUGUUAAACCUCUAUCUUCUGAUAAGCCGUUCCAUGUUGAAACAGAGCAAAAGGUGCGUGACACAACAAGUCGUGAGGAAAGUCACAUGGAAAAUCUUGAAGAAUGUGUGGUUGAGCAUUUGGAUGAAGAUCAGAUUCUUCAGGAUGACAAUGAAAAGGAACAAAUAAAGAUAUCUCAAUCCAAAAUCCGGGAGUGGUCAAAGGGAAAAGAAGGAAAUAUUCGGUCAUUGCUUUCUACACUGCAAUAUGUUCUCUGGCCUGAGAGUGGAUGGAAACCAGUUCCAUUGGUUAACAUAAUUGAAGGAGCAGCGGUUAAGAAAGCUUAUCAGAAGGCAUUGUUAUGUCUUCAUCCAGAUAAGUUGCAACAGCGAGGAGCUGCCAUGCAUCAAAAGUAUAUAGCAGAAAAGGUUUUUGAGAUUCUACAGGAGGCAUGGAAGGAAUUCAAUUCAGUCACUUUUGGAUAG